GGAGAGGUGGGUGAGCGGUUGAAACCGCAGCUCUCGAAAAGCUGUAUGCCCUUUACGGGCAUCGUGGGUUCGAAUCCCACCCUCUCCGCCA
This 91-nucleotide transfer RNA is filed under the name bacterium. RNAcentral describes it as "tRNA-Ser". It matches the Rfam family "tRNA". From Rfam's summary of the family: Transfer RNA (tRNA) molecules are approximately 80 nucleotides in length. Their secondary structure includes four short double-helical elements and three loops (D, anti-codon, and T loops). The record is from RNAcentral.